CUCUCUCUCUCUCUCUCUCUUCUCUCUCUCUCUCUCUCUCUCUCUCUCUCUCUCUCUCUCUCUCUGUGUGUACCCAAGUGGGUGGGAACUAUAGGUCCCACCUUAACGGGCAAACAUGAUUUAUAGCAUUUGAAAUUUCUAGAAAUCAAAUUUUAUAAUUUUUUGACAUCAUUUUCCUUACGAUCAAACGAUUUCAAAAUUGAUAACUUUUAACGACCAUGGGAUACUUGCUAGUUUAACAGUGUAAGAAUCAGAAUUGGUUGAAUUUUUGAUAAAAAAAUUUUAUUUACUAUUUAAAUAAAGAGCAAUAACUCCGGUUUUAAAUUGAAGGAUUUGAUCAUCCAUUUUUAUGAUGCCGUUCUAUUUUGAUCAUUCAUUUUAUACCCACUUGAUGUACUUUUUUAUAACUUCACAAAAUUAUAAAUUUUAUUUUCUAAAAAUUGGAAUAAUCCAUUAAGGUGGGAACUAUAGUUCCCACCUUAACCAAAUAUUGUUUUAGAGGUUACGAAUAUAUCAAAAUAAUUACUUAAACUUUGUAUUGUGAAUGAUCAUGUGGCAUCAUGCUCCUUUUUAACUGCCCAGUAUUAUUUAAUUUAGUCCCCAAGACCUUUGUAAAGCCUAGUAUAAUAAUAAAGAAGUGCAACUGACUGUUCCUAAUAUAAGUGGUAAAAAAUUUGGCGGUUGAUACUCGAGAUUUCAAGUUCGAAUUCUAAUUGAUUCGUAUUUUUAGCUAAAUUUAUUUUUAAAUAAAAUAAACGAAUCAGAUAGCAUAUUUUCUCUAAGAAAUAAUAAUAAAAAUAAUAAUAAUAAUAAAGAAUUGGAUGG
This 825-nucleotide long non-coding RNA is filed under the name Ananas comosus (pineapple). RNAcentral's name for it is "long non-coding RNA (ACOM_LNC025079)". Lineage: Eukaryota; Viridiplantae; Streptophyta; Magnoliopsida; Poales; Bromeliaceae. The record is from RNAcentral.